GACGAACGCUGGCGGCGUGCUUAACACAUGCAAGUCGAACGGAAAGGCCUGCUUUCCCUUGUGGAUUGCGGGUACUCGAGUGGCGAACGGGUGAGUAACACGUGAGUGAUCUGCCCCCGACUUGGGUAUAAGCCUGGGAAACUGGGUCUAAUUCCCGAUAGGACUGCAGGGUGGUGCCUGUGGUGGAAAACGAUUUUCUAGUGGUUGGGGAUGAGCUCGCGGCCUAUCAGCUUGUUGGUGGGGUAAUGGCCUACCAAGGCGGCGACGGGUAGCCGGCCUGAGAGCGUGGACGGCCACAUUGGGACUGGGAUACGGCCCAGACGCCUACGGGAGGCAGGAGUGGGGACGCAUGCACACAGGGCGGAAGCCUGAAGCAGCGACGCCGCGUGGAGGAUGACGGCCUUCGGGUUGUAAACUCCUUUCGACCGCGAGGAAGGCACCUGGUUGGGAGGGUGGUGACGGUAGUGGUAGAAGAAGCACCGGCUAACUACGUG
This 494-nucleotide ribosomal RNA is filed under the name uncultured bacterium. Its description in RNAcentral is "partial 16S ribosomal RNA". It matches the Rfam family "Bacterial small subunit ribosomal RNA", at positions 28 to 507 of the family's 1533-position model. The record is from RNAcentral.